This 22-nucleotide microRNA is filed under the name Citrus sinensis (sweet orange). Its description in RNAcentral is "csi-miR3627a-5p". The record is from miRBase by way of RNAcentral. Lineage: Eukaryota; Viridiplantae; Streptophyta; Magnoliopsida; Sapindales; Rutaceae.
UUGUCGCCGGAGAGAUAGCACC